UUUGCAGCUGCGUUGGACAUUAAAAUUAAUUGGAAGUUAGUAAUUGGAAGGCCAAAACUUGAUUUGUGCUGUAGACCAAUGUUCAACUUACAUUUCAACCAAGACCCAGAGGUGAAGCCUGUGUCCAGUGUAAGAAGGAUUUCUACAGAACACUUAGCAGCAAUUCCCCACAUGGCUCAGGAAACUCGAAGAUUCAGUAGGCAUCCUCCGAUCCCAUGACCACCCAGGAACUUGAAAGCGGAUGUUACCAACCUCUGGAGGACAAAGGCCAGCCCUGCAGAUGUCCGCUCUGAGCUUACUGGGUGCCUGGCCAGCAGGGUUCGCUAUAGAGACGAUGAGGA
Molecule: long non-coding RNA, 341 nt
Organism: Acipenser ruthenus (sterlet)
Lineage: Eukaryota; Metazoa; Chordata; Actinopteri; Acipenseriformes; Acipenseridae
Exons: 3
Source: RefSeq, a predicted model, not a curated record